Molecule: non-coding RNA, 444 nt
Organism: Pogona vitticeps (central bearded dragon)
Lineage: Eukaryota; Metazoa; Chordata; Lepidosauria; Squamata; Agamidae
Source: RefSeq, a predicted model, not a curated record
CCUCAGGUGGGCAGCAUCAGCAUGUGGUCACAGAGGCCAUCUCCUUAAAUAAGGAGGAUAAGCGUUCCAGUGGUCUGUGAUCCAAGUGAGAGAUACCUUGUCCUACAGGGGCAAGAGGUGGUGUCCUUCUGUUCAGACCAUGAACUGCUGGAAGGCAACAACAGCACAGGGUCAUAAUGAUGAGUCCCAGUUCUUCAAGGAAGCAGCAUAAGCAUGAGAUCAGGAAGACAUCUCUCUCCCUUAGACAGGUGGCAUGAGCGCAAGAAAAUGAAACAAGAUGUCUCCUCCUUGGACGGACAAGAGAAAAGUGUGAGAGGGAAGGAAGUGACAUCAGCAGCCCUAAGAAUAGUAACGUAGGCUAAAGAAUCAUCAGAGCAUGCAAAGGACAAUCUAGGAAGAUCAGGUUCUUAUCUUUCUCUCUACUCCUUCCCAUGCAAAGAGAUA